GCGGAGAUGGCACAGCGGCUACUGCGCUUCCCUGCAGAGGAAGUAUUCGCGGGUUCGAGUCCCGCUCUCCGCU
Molecule: transfer RNA, 73 nt
Filed under: archaeon
Lineage: Archaea
Description: tRNA-Cys
Rfam family: tRNA
About the family: Transfer RNA (tRNA) molecules are approximately 80 nucleotides in length.
Source: RNAcentral